GUGUCAGCAGCCGCGGUAAUACAGAGGGUGCAAGCGUUGCUCGGAAUUAUUGGGCGUAAAGGGUAGGUAGGUGGUCUCAUUUGUCUGGGGUGAAAUCCUAGGGCUUAACCCUAGAAGUGCCCCAGAAACGGUGAGACUGGAGUCCUGGAGAGGGUCGUGGAAUUCCCGGUGUAGCGGUGAAAUGCGUAGAGAUCGGGAGGAACACCAGAGGCGAAGGCGGCGACCUGGACAGGUACUGACACUCAACUACGAAAGCGUGGGGAGCAAACAGGAUUAGAUACCCUUGUAGUCC
This 292-nucleotide ribosomal RNA is filed under the name uncultured bacterium. RNAcentral describes it as "partial 16S ribosomal RNA". It matches the Rfam family "Bacterial small subunit ribosomal RNA", at positions 505 to 796 of the family's 1533-position model. The record is from RNAcentral.